This is a long non-coding RNA of Pecten maximus, 499 nucleotides long. RefSeq lists it as uncharacterized. The record is from RefSeq and is a predicted model, not a curated record. NCBI's taxonomy places the organism in Eukaryota, Metazoa, Mollusca, Bivalvia, Pectinida, Pectinidae. The transcript is spliced from 2 exons.
UGUUUUGGUAAAUAUUUUAGUGGCCGGUUUAAGGAUGCCAUUAUCUAUGCAUGUUUACUGCCCACAAAACUGGGUCAGCGCUUCUCACAGCAAGGGUCGGACCAGUUCCCUUGGUAACCGUGACAUCUGAUACUAGGGAUGGUCAAGCUGCCUGCAGAUGUUACAUUCUUAUCAGGGACCUUGUCUGAGCUGUUCAAAUGGUUGUACACAGUACAGUGCUAUUUCGACUUACACAGAAGAAGAUAUUUGGAUUAAUCACGAAGAAGAAAGAGAGCAUUUCUUUGAUCAAAAGACAAUCUACAAUAAGGAAGAACCGCCUGUGUGCGACAGCAACAGAUUCGGAAAUUGCAGCAAUUCAAUGCAAAAGAUUGGUUCAGAUUUGCUUGUGAUCGCGAUGGUGGCAGGAAAAGGAGAGAGGAACAAAAAAGGGCACAACAGGCAGCUACUGCAACUAUCAAUGCUGUGAUCAUAUACAAAUAAAUUGUAAAGCACUUGCCAA